UAAAAGUUUUAUUUUAACUUAAAAAUUUAUUUAUUUUUUAUUUUACAUGUAAAUUUUUGUGAGAUUUUAAUAUAAUUUUAAUAAUUUUAUUAAUAAAUUUAGUCGCAGUAUUUAAUUUUAAAAAUUUAAGAAAUUAAGAUUUAGUAAUAAAAUUAAAAAUUGACAAAAUUUGUGCCAGCAGUCGCGGUUACACAAAUAAUUUAUAUAAAUUUUAUUAGUAUUAAUUAAUUUGAUGAAAUCAAAUUUAAUAAUAUUUUUAUAAGGUGAAAUUUUUAAAGAUUAAAUAAAUUUGUAUUUAAAUAAUGAAGUUGAAAAAUUUUAUUAAAAAACUAGGAUUAGAUACCCUAUUAUUUUAAAUGUAAAUUAUAAACUAAGGUAGUAAUAGUUAUGUUCUUGAAACUUAAAAAAUUUGGCGGUAUUUUAGUCUUUUCAGAGGAAUCUGUCCUAUAAUUGAUAAUCCACGAUUUAUUUUACUUAAUUUAAUUAAUUUAUAUACCGUCGUUAAAAGAAAAUUUUUUUAGAAUUUUAAAUUUUCUUAAAUUUAUAUAAAAAUUUAAAUCAGAUCAAGGUAUAGUUUAUAAUUAAGAAGAGAUGGAUUACAAUAAAAUUAUUUAUAUGGAAUAAUUUAUGAAAUAAAAUUAUGAAGGUGGAUUUGAUAGUAAUAAAUUUUAAAUUUUAUUUAUGAUUUUAGCUCUAAAAUAUGUACAUAUCGCCCGUCACUUUCAUUAUAAAAUGAAAUAAGUCGUAACAAAGUAGAUGUACUGGAAAGUGUAUCUGGAAAGAC
Molecule: non-coding RNA, 784 nt
Filed under: Incoltorrida madagassica
Lineage: Eukaryota; Metazoa; Arthropoda; Insecta; Coleoptera; Torridincolidae
Source: RNAcentral